UGGUUCCGGCAUCGAUGAAGAACGCAGCGAAAUGCGAUAAGUAAUGUGAAUUGCAGAAUUCAGUGAAUCAUCGAAUCUUUGAACGCAUAUUGCGCCCUUUGGUAUUCCAUAGGGCAUGCCUGUUCGAGCGUCAUAAAAAAUUCAAACUGUUAUAUGUUUGGUAGUGGAAUUGGCAGUCUUGACUCUUUUGAAAAAGUUGCCUUUCCGAAUAGCAGCGCCGGCGUUCUACAACGUCCUGAAGCGUAGUAAAUUUGAUUAUCCUUCAAGAAUUGUAUUUUGAAUUGCCUGCUAUAAAAAUAUCUUCAUUUCUAAAUUUUGACCUCGAAUCAGGUAGGGAUACCCGCUGA
This 347-nucleotide unclassified non-coding RNA is filed under the name uncultured fungus. RNAcentral describes it as "partial contains 5.8S ribosomal RNA and internal transcribed spacer 2". The stretch from base 1 to 133 matches the Rfam family "5.8S ribosomal RNA", at positions 22 to 154 of the family's 154-position model. The record is from RNAcentral. Lineage: Eukaryota; Fungi.